Non-coding RNA from Trametes maxima, 82 nucleotides. NCBI's taxonomy places the organism in Eukaryota, Fungi, Basidiomycota, Agaricomycetes, Polyporales, Polyporaceae. The record is from the annotation of a GenBank genome assembly.
ACACUGAUGGUGAAACGGUAUCAUGCUUGCCUUCCAUCAUACCGUAUAGCAAGCGGCGCGGGUUCGACUCCCGCUCAGUGUA